AAACUCGAGAUCUUACAGUCUAAUAAUACUACUAUUGCAAAGUUAUAGAAAUCUGUGGCACAUUUAGUUUCUUGCUCAUUCAUAAAUCAGCUAGUAAAUUGGAAAGCCAUAUCAACACAUCAAGCGUACCAGCAAAGAAAGUGUAUUCUCUGAAUUUACAAGGAAAAAAAUAAGAUAAAAAUCAUACAUGAUAGAGAUAUAUAUUCCCAAUAGGUGCUAACCAUGCAAUUGAUUAGCAAAAACUAGUGUAACUUGAGACAUUUACAAGAGUCACCAAUUUGAUGCCUCAAAUACGGCUUGAAUCUCUUCCAAAAAUAAAUCUCCGAGUCCAAUCAGAGACCACCAACACCCUUGUGCGCCAGCUAACUUGCUUGCUGAACCAAAGAAAUAGUUAGAGUAUAUCAAAUUCAAGGAUGCACAGAUCAAGUGCUCACUCAAUCAGUCACACAAAAAUUUAAAAUGCUUUAAGUAGUGGAUACUCACCUUGCAUAUACAGAAUACCAGAGCCACUGAGUGCUAUGACCCAUGGAAACCCAAUCUCCAGGCAGUUCUGCAGCAGCCUGCUCGCCUCCCAAAGGGGCAAAUUGUCCAAAAUGUUUGUACCUUCCAGUUUCCGGCACCUCAAAGGUCAGAAAAGGGCUAAAAGAACAAAUUGCAGAAAUAAUUGACAAAAUCAUACUAUCAGUUAGAAUCCUUGAUCACAGAGAUGGAAAUUUUCCUCUUGUGAUGAAAGAUUUUCUUAAUUUCUUAGGAAAAAGGAAAAAAAAUUAUGAAAUGGUUUUUUUCUUUUCGUAAUUAUCAGUUAAAGCUGUAUUUUUUGCACAAGAAGGCAGUAAAAGUUAAAGAUGUUGAUGGAUAAAAGCCACUUUUUAAGAGAGUAUAUAAAAACAGAAACAUAGCUUGCAAAAGAAAAAAAAAAUCUGGUUGCUAAUGUCCUUAAACAAAGAAAGACACUGCAUUUAAUAGAAGAAGAGAUAAGCACUCCAAAGCAAAUAGCAAUAGCAUACUCGAAGGGACGGAAAUGGUGACGCCCAGAACCUCUAAAACGUCGAGGGCCUUCAGGAUUAUCUUUGCAUUCCUCCAUACGGUUGAAGCACCUAGAAAGAUAUGUACCUUGUUGAGCAGCAACCUGUGCAGUUGCAGGCAAGCUUUUCGUCAGUGAAUCCACAUGGGAAAGGGCUUGCUUAAGCCCUUCAAUAUCCACUUCCUUUCUGUCAUUCCCCUCAGGAUCUUUCAGCAAAUCUGCAACAUCUAUCAGAUGCUUGUUUCUUAAAUACAGUCCCACUUGAGGGUACCUUAUGAGGAUGUCAUCUAUUAUGUCUCGAAAUUCUUGAACAGUCAAGGUACCAGAGUUGUCUUUGUCUGCAGCUUUAAAAAUGGCCCCAAUAUCUUCCAUGACCUUUCGUUGAUCUAUUGUAGCACAAUCUCCAAGUGCAUAUACAUUUUCGCAUCCCUUUACUCGCAGCCAUUCAUUAGUUGCAAGAGCACGUCUAUUGGCCUGCCCAAUUUGCUCUAUGAAAUCCCUCACAACUGGGCGAGUGUUAAGUCCGGUAGACCAUACAACCAAUCCAUGUGGUAUAGAGCAAACUUCUCCCUUGGAUUUCACCUUCAUGGUGAUUUCUUUAUCAGAAACACUAAGAACUCGGCAUCCUGUUUUAACUUCAAUACCAUCCCUUUGAAACUUCUGUUCAGCAAACGAACUGAUUCUCUCAUCAAACAUGUUCAAAAUGUGAUCUCCAGAUUGGAUCACAGUUAUUUUCACUAGAUCUUUAACCAUUGGAUAAAUAUUGACUAAAUCUUCUUGCAGAAAGUCAUGCAGCUCUGCAGCAAACUCCACACCAGUAGGACCUCCUCCAACAACUACAAAAUGAAGGUUUAUUCUACGCUCUUCUUCAGUUAGAUUAGGAAGAGCAGCCUUUUCAAAACAAUCAAUCACACUCCUUCGGAGCUUCUGAGCAUCUUCCAAGUCCUUAAGAAAAUGGCAGUUCUCCAUGACACCAGGGGUGUUGAAAGUGUUUACUUGGGCUCCCACUGCAAUAACUAAAUAGUCAUAUUCCACAGAAAAAUCUUCAGUCCCAACCACACUGCUCCCAAAAUUGGGCUUGCAGAAAACUUUGUUGUUUUCAGCAUCAAUCUUGACACAUUCUGCCUCCCAAAAUUGAAUUUCUCCAUUUCUCUUCUUUAUAAUAUUUCGAACUGGCUCUGCAAUGCUUCGAGCUUCAACUGUUCCACAGGUGACACUGGGUAACAGGGGGGUGAAUGCAAAAUAAUUCCGGGGUGAAACAACUUGAACAUCAUAUGAAGAAACAUCCAGAUUUUUAAGGAAACUAAUACCAGCCCAUCCUGUUCCCAGAACCACUACUCUCUUCUUUUUGCGCUCAUUUCGAUUAAACUCAGCAGGGGGUGUGUUGUUGAUUUCUGACUGUGACUCAGAAUAAGCCACUAUACCUCCACUACUAAAAGUAGUGAAGAGAAUGAGAAGCUUAGUGUAAGAAGAGCAUCCAUGGAAAGCUUGCGAAGCUCUCUUAAAAAAGGAGAUGAUCGUCAUUGGGAAACCAGAGUUAAUAUCUGAUCCGAUCAAGCAGGAACUUUAGUUCUCUUCACAGAGAUAGAAAGCUUUGACUGAGAUUCUGUGCAGUGAAGAAGGAGAGAAUGGAUGCGUUUUCUUCUCCGUUGAUCACGAACCCCGUACAAGUCAUCCUUCCG
RNAcentral lists this unclassified non-coding RNA (2706 nucleotides) under Hevea brasiliensis (rubber tree). The record is from RNAcentral. Lineage: Eukaryota; Viridiplantae; Streptophyta; Magnoliopsida; Malpighiales; Euphorbiaceae.